Solanum pennellii is the source of this 364-nucleotide long non-coding RNA. RefSeq lists it as uncharacterized. The transcript has 2 exons. NCBI's taxonomy places the organism in Eukaryota, Viridiplantae, Streptophyta, Magnoliopsida, Solanales, Solanaceae. The record is from RefSeq and is a predicted model, not a curated record.
AUGUGUUAGUCAUUCCCAUUUCAAGUGUCGCAUCAGAAUGUGCAUUCAGCACAGGAGGUCGUGUUCUUGAUCCCUUUAGGAGUUCAUUAACUCCUAAAAUUGUGCAAUCUCUUAUUUGUGUUCAAGAUUGGCUUAGAAGUGAGUCUUUUCCAAUCAAUAUUGAGGAAGAUUUAGAGUAUCUUGAACAACUUUAACUUGAUUUUGCUUGUAGUGGGACUGAAUCUAGUAUAAUUGAUAUAUAGUUGCAGCUUGUAAGUUCAACUAUCAACUAGUGAUGUGUGGUAACGAGUAAGUAAAGAACUUAUUUACAUAACUUGCUUGAUAGUUUUAUAUAUUCUAUUAUGAAAUGUAGAUCAUUUGUCUA